GGCAGCCAAAGGCAGGAAGAGGGCGGCACCAGCCCAGGACUCCGCCCCUCGGGGAGGUAAACUCCAUCAAGAUCCCUAAAGCUGAAGAGGAGAGACAGAUCCUAGACCUGCAGAGGUAAAGAGCAGAUCUCUGCAGCCCAGAUCAAGAUCCUAAAGAAACACUCUGAAGCUCUUCAGGUCUCCCCCAUCUCUCCCUCCACCCCUCUCUCCCCCUCUCUCUCUGUAAUCCCCACUCUCUCUCUCUCAACCCUCUCUCUCUCUCUCUCUUCUCCUCUCUCUCUCUCUCUGUAAUCCCGCCUCUCUCUCUCUCUAAUCCUCUCUCUCUCUCUGUAAUCUCUCUCUCUCUCUAAUCCUCUCUCUCUCUCUCUAAUCCACUCUCUCUCUCUCUCUGUAAUCUCCUCUCUCUCUCCCUCUCUCUGUGUAAUCUCCUCUCUCUCUCUCUAAUCUCCUCUCUCUCUCCUGUAAUCUCCUCUCUCUCUCUCUGUAAUCUCCUCUCUCUCUCUGUAAUCUCCUCUCUCUCUCUCUGUAAUCUCCUCUCUCUCUCUGUAAUCUCCUCUCUCUCUGUGUAAUCUCCUCUCUCUCUCUGUAAUCUCCUCUCUCUCUCGUGUAAUCUCCUCUCUCUCUCUCUGUAAUCUCCUCUCUCUCUCUGUAAUCUCCUCUCUCUCUCUCUGUAUUCUCUCUCUCUCUCUCUGUAAUCUCCUCUCUCUUAUCUUCUCUCUCUCUCCCCCCCUCUCUCUCUCCUCCCUCCUCUCUCAGGCCUUGUAGUCCUGGUCUGAAGCUCCUUGUUCCUGUUAAUCUCCAAAACAUUGUUUGCUCUUUAUCUUUUGUGGAGCAGUUUGUUUUUAAAAGAAAUAUUUCCAAACCGUUUUAAUCUGGUUUUGAUGACAAAAACACGUUUUUGCUAAUUAAAUUCCCCCAGGAUAUCUUGCCUCUUCCUCCUGUCUGCUGGCCUCUUCUUCCUCUGUCCCCUCCUUCCUGUCUCUCUCCCAACUGUGUGUCUAUUUUAUAUAGUUUCAAACACUUUCUUUCUCACACUUGUUAGAGAGAGAUAGAGAGAGAGAGGGGGAGGGAAGGAAGGAAGGAGAGAGAGGGAAGGAAGGGGAGAGGGAGGGAAGGAAGGAAGGGGAGAGGGAGGGAAGGAAGGAAGGGGAGAGAGAGAGGGAAGGAAGGGGAGAGAGAGAGGGAAGAAAGGGGAGAGAGGGAAGGAAGGAAGGAGAGAGGGAAGGAAGGAGAGAGGGAGGAGGGAGGGAAGGAUGGAAGGAGAGGAAGAGAGAGAGAGAGGAGGAAGGAAGGAGAGAGGGAAGGAAGGGGAGAGAGGGAAGGAAGGGGAGAGAGGGAAGGAAGGGGAGAGAGGGAAGGAAGGGGAGAGGGAGGAAGGAAGGGGAGAGAGAGAGGGAAGAAAGGGGAGAGAGGGAAGGAAGGAAGGAGAGAGGGAAGGAAGGGGAGAGGGAGGGAGGAGGGAAGGAAGGAGGAGGGAAGGAAGGAGAGAGAGAGAGGGAGGAGGGAGGGAAGGAUGGAAGGAGAGGAAGAGAGAGAGAGAGAGGAGGGAAGGAAGGAGAGAGGGAGGGAUAUGGGCACUUUUCGGAAAAAGCGGUGUUCAAGCAGGGGUUAACUGAUGAAUAGACAAACAUGACUUAUUAUUUUCCUUUCGAUCUUUUUAGCAGUCAAACAUUGAAAUUAAAAUUUGUAUUGAAAUGUUAAGUCUGUUGGUUAAUUACUUGGAGGAGGAGAGGAGAGGAAGGCUUCAGUGUUACAGCAUCUUCUACACAUUUGGUCUGAGAAGUUCCAUCGGGGCUCCCAGCUGAUCUGUGAUCGCUUGCUCUCCCCUGGCCUUCCAUCCACGUUCCACUUCCUCUUCCUCUUCCUCACGCCUUACGGUCAAUGUUUCUUCUUGCUUGUUUUGAAUAAAGGAAGUCUUUUAAAAAAAAUAAAACAGUUUAGGAGAGAAAAAUAAAAGUACUGCAUUUCUCUUUUCCAAACUUGCCAGUUUCAUUUCUAUAUUUUAGUCGGAAAGCGUUUUUUUUUCCAUUCUGCCUUGAUAAUGAUUCCAGACAUUUUAAUUUUGGUUGUAGAUGUUUCAGGAUGGGUUUUUCACGUGGGCAGAAAUCCCUUUUUAGAUGUAAAGCCAUGCUGUGUUUCUUCA
RNAcentral lists this long non-coding RNA (2143 nucleotides) under Salmo salar (Atlantic salmon). Its description in RNAcentral is "lncRNA (ENSSSAG00000113587.1)". Lineage: Eukaryota; Metazoa; Chordata; Actinopteri; Salmoniformes; Salmonidae. The record is from RNAcentral.